This 201-nucleotide long non-coding RNA is filed under the name Vigna radiata. Its description in RNAcentral is "long non-coding RNA (VRAD_LNC001672)". Lineage: Eukaryota; Viridiplantae; Streptophyta; Magnoliopsida; Fabales; Fabaceae. The record is from RNAcentral.
AAACAUGUAAAAAAGUUGUUAAAAAUGACGGUUUCCAGUUGUUUUGGGUUGAUUCUCUUGUUCACUUUGUUUGAAUGGUUUGCUCAUAGGGCAGGGGAGAUGUCAUCACGGUCCUAACCUCAUUGCUUUCAUUGUUCCUAAGAAAAGAGCAUCACAAGGUGGUGGACCAUAUUUCUGUGUUCUGUAGGCUAGGGAAGGUGG